AUACGGAGGGUGCGAGCGUUGUUCGGAUUUACUGGGCGUAAAGGGCGUGUAGGCGGGAGCGCAAGCCGGAGGUGAAAGCCCCAGGCUCAACCUGGGAAGCUCUUCCGGAACUGCGCAUCUAGAGAGGGUCAGAGGCAGGUGGAAUUCCUGGUGUAGAGGUGAAAUUCGUAGAGAUCAGGAGGAACACCGGUGGCGAAGGCGGCCUGCUGGGACUCUUCUGACGCUGAGGCGCGAAAGCGUGGGUAGCAAACAGGAUAAGAAACCCCAGUAGUCC
Molecule: ribosomal RNA, 274 nt
Filed under: uncultured bacterium
Lineage: Bacteria
Description: partial 16S ribosomal RNA
Rfam family: Bacterial small subunit ribosomal RNA
Source: RNAcentral